UGUUUCAUAAAGUUACCAUCUCAUUCUUAGAUGGUAUGUGUACGAGCUGUGACUCGUUUUUAUUCAUGAUACUAAUAUUUCGGGUACAUACUGCUACAAAAAUAAUGAAUGAAGAACUUAACAAGCUUCUGCAUGAAGGAGACGUGGACAAAAGGCCAAUUUUGCUAAACAAUUAUAUGAUUGGCUCUAGUUUUAAAGCCCACAAGUGCAGCCAUGGAGCUGAGAAAGUACGCGAACUUUUUAAUACCUAUAUGACAAUAAGUGAAGUAAUUAAGACAGUGAUGGAGACCGGAGAAGUGGGCGUAUUUUUAUACAUUAUGUCUAAGCUUGUACGUUUAAUGACUAGGGUCUACAACUAUGCUCAUUGGCAUUUUGCGUUCCAAGACGUGG
This is a long non-coding RNA of Pieris napi, 390 nucleotides long. RefSeq lists it as uncharacterized. Lineage: Eukaryota; Metazoa; Arthropoda; Insecta; Lepidoptera; Pieridae. The transcript is spliced from 3 exons. The record is from RefSeq and is a predicted model, not a curated record.